Molecule: transfer RNA, 95 nt
Filed under: Methylobacterium bullatum
Lineage: Bacteria; Pseudomonadati; Pseudomonadota; Alphaproteobacteria; Hyphomicrobiales; Methylobacteriaceae
Description: tRNA-Ser
Source: RNAcentral
GGGCGAGGGGCGGAUGGUUGCAGGAUCCGCGCCGCCAUCGAACGGUGGACGGUGUGCCGCGGCACCGCGAAGGAUCUUGCCCUUUCCCCGACUUC